CCUAACACAUGCAAGUCGAACGGUAACAGGAAACAGCUUGCUGUUUCGCUGACGAGUGGCGGACGGGUGAGUAAUGUCUGGGAAACUGCCUGAUGGAGGGGGAUAACUACUGGAAACGGUAGCUAAUACCGCAUAACGUCGCAAGACCAAAGAGGGGGACCUUCGGGCCUCUUGCCAUCAGAUGUGCCCAGAUGGGAUUAGCUAGUAGGUGGGGUAACGGCUCACCUAGGCGACGAUCCCUAGCUGGUCUGAGAGGAUGACCAGCCACACUGGAACUGAGACACGGUCCAGACUCCUACGGGAGGCAGCAGUGGGGAAUAUUGCACAAUGGGCGCAAGCCUGAUGCAGCCAUGCCGCGUGUAUGAAGAAGGCC
Molecule: ribosomal RNA, 373 nt
Filed under: uncultured bacterium
Lineage: Bacteria
Description: bacterial SSU rRNA
Rfam family: Bacterial small subunit ribosomal RNA
Source: RNAcentral